RNAcentral lists this ribosomal RNA (428 nucleotides) under uncultured bacterium. RNAcentral's name for it is "bacterial SSU rRNA". It matches the Rfam family "Bacterial small subunit ribosomal RNA", at positions 355 to 774 of the family's 1533-position model. The record is from RNAcentral.
UGGGGAAUCUUGGGCAAUGGGCGAGAGCCUGACCCAGCGACGCCGCGUGAGGGAAGAAGGCCUUCGGGUCGUAAACCUCUGUCAGGAGGGAAGAAAAUGCUACAUAUUAAUAGUGUGUAGUAUUGACGGUACCUCCAGAGGAAGCGCCGGCCAACUCCGUGCCAGCAGCCGCGGUAAUACGGAGGGCGCAAGCGUUAUUCGGAAUUACUGGGCGUAAAGCGCGCGUAGGCGGCAACGUAAGUCAGGUGUGAAAGUCCUCGGCUCACCCGGGGGAUGGCACUUGAAACUGCGUAGCUGGAGUUCUGGAGAGGGUGGCGGAAUUCCCGGUGUAGGAGUGAAAUCCGUAGAGAUCGGGAGGAACACCAGAGGCGAAGGCGGCCACCUGGCCAGAAACUGACGCUGAGGCGCGAAAGCGUGGGUAGCAAACA